CCUACGGGAGGCAGCAGUGGGGAAUAUUGCACAAUGGGGGGAACCCUGAUGCAGCGACGCCGCGUGAGUGAAGAAGUAUUUCGGUAUGUAAAGCUCUGUCAGCAGGGAAGAAGAAAGAUGGUACCUGACCAAGAAGCCCCGGCUAACUACGUGCCAGCAG
RNAcentral lists this ribosomal RNA (160 nucleotides) under uncultured bacterium. RNAcentral describes it as "partial 16S ribosomal RNA". It matches the Rfam family "Bacterial small subunit ribosomal RNA", at positions 338 to 514 of the family's 1533-position model. The record is from RNAcentral.